This 4541-nucleotide long non-coding RNA is filed under the name Canis lupus familiaris (dog). Its description in RNAcentral is "lncRNA (ENSCAFG00805022170.1, ENSCAFG00845028545.1)". Lineage: Eukaryota; Metazoa; Chordata; Mammalia; Carnivora; Canidae. The record is from RNAcentral.
AUACAGCAGAUGCCUUCUGGACAUGGGACCUCUGACUGAAGUGUACAGAGUCACUCUAGCGGUGUCCCCAGCCCUUGUACAGUGGCGAACAUGCUUUCAUUUUUUUCAACUCUCAUUUGUGCAACUGUGGGUUAAACCUCCCAGGCUACUGUGAUAUCUGUGAUAUGUACUGAUCCCUAAUUGCCUACUGAUCUUUAUAUGUAACUGUUUCCUUAGCCACUUGUUUACAGGUAGCAUGAGUACCCUGAAAUGUGUAUUUCGAAAUCCUACAUUCCACAUCACUUCCAUUGCUUCUUGGGAGGCCCAACUCCAUAAUUUCACACCAUAUUGGCCAUGAUGGGUAUUCACCAUAAUGUAAAAUGAUGGGCAGGGAGAAAGACCACAUUGGGUUAAAAAUACAGUUGUUAACUGAACAGAGUAUUGCUGAGUGCUAGUGACUCAUAGCCUAGAGAAAAUACACACUAAUAGAAGAUUUCUAGUGGAUGAAUUUUGGAUACUCAGUGGAUAUUCAGCUCUUACAUUCAUCUAGUAUGCACUGGGGACAGCUACACUGGUUACUAAUAACUGGUGUAUUUUCUGAUUAGUUGGUGUCAUGCUAUACAGAUUGGAACUAUUUUAGUGAUUAAUAGCAUUAAUAUAAAUAAAUAUUUCAUGGGGCAGUUUUAAAUGAAGAAUGCCUGUAUUUUAUGUAUAAUCAAUCACAUAUAUUAGGCCUGGGAUUUUAAAAGCAUUUCUGAACCCCUUUCACCUUUCCUUGCAUAUUUCUCAAGGCAACCUCCUUGGGUAAGGAAUGGGGCCAAGCAGGCAGGGUGGCAUACAAUCUCCCUCUUUCUCUUCCUUCCACAUCCUCAGAGCACCUGCCCUUUUGCAUUGAGUUCUGAGUAAGAUUUCUCUUGAAGAGAAUGCUCUGUUAAUUAGACAUAAGGUUGAAACCCUAUUCUAAUACUCAGGCAGUAUUUCCAUGGGGGCCAUGGAGAUACAUGGGGAGGGACACUUAAUCCCGUCUUGGAGGCCGGGCAUGGAUCAGGGAAAGCUUUCCAUAAAAAGUAGUCCCUGAAUGUGUGCGUAGGGUGGGGUGAGGAGAUUGUAUACCUUCUAGGCAGAGGUAGCAGUAUGUGGAAAGUCCCAGAAGCAAGGCAAGGAAAGUUUAACUUCUUCAGGAAAGUUGUAAGGUGUUCAAUAUGGCUGGAGUGUUUGGUUUCAGAUGAGACUGACGAGGUGAGCUGAGGUCAAACCUAUGUUCCUGUCUAUUCCACUUUGUCAGUUUCACAUCUUUCAACCUAUGCUGUGUCUAGAUGAUGUCUCUCAAACUCUUGACCUUCAAACCUAAUGUGGGUACCAUCUGUUCCUCCCUAUCCUUUUGGCACUUUGACCCCAAACACAUUCGCAGGCCACAUGAUCCAGCCUGAGAGACUGGUCAUUGGAUCCAGUCAGCUCACUCUUACAUUUGCUUUUUUUGCAGUCUACACUAACCAAUCAACUUUCCAGAUUCCUAACAUCAAGCCUAAGGCCUGAUGUGUCUAAACCAAGUGCUGAACUUCCACUGGCCAUGGCCUCACUUUCUGGCUCUCAUUUGGUUUCUUAGUCAAGUCUUUGGACAAAAGUCUUGCAAUGGGGUGACAGAAUGACACCCCCCUCCCCCAAACACUCAACACCCUCAAGCAAGCAAGUGCAGUAUCUUUUGGAAGCCAGUCUUUGGUUACCUACAGUUUCAGUCUGGCUAACCCUCAGGAAUUACUGUGUUCUCCCUUACUAAGGGAGAAGCUUGCUAAGAUAUUUCUUGUACCAAAUUGUAGUCCAGGCUAUGACACUUUAGCUUAAAAUCAAGUUUUUCAUUUGUGGGAAAUGUUCUAUCCUUUUUUUUUUAAAUCACACUGGACUUCUCUGAGCCAAAAGGGAUCUCCAAGUUGUGAGAAUUGAAAAUGCCAGAAAUUUCCUCCUGUUGAGCACUACCAUGGCUGCCAGCAAGGGAACUUUGGGCUCAUCAAAAUCCAAGAGCUCAGCUGAAAGUCUUUAGGGAAUGUCCUUUCUGGUGGAGAAACCAUCAAGUUCUACACCACCUAUUAUGGUCUCCAAACUGUUGAUUGUGACAAAGCAAGUUUUGUGUACAGGAAACAACCACUUCCCUUCUCCCUUUGGAGAACCUAAAAAAAUUUGAUCUUAGAUAAGAAGCCAUAAAUAAUUACAUAAACAAUUACUCAGCCUUUGCUUUUUUUCUUUUAAUCCUAUAAUGGUACUUUAGCAAUAACAUCAAGCACUACUAUUUUUCUUAAGUUUUCACAGUGAAUAAAAAUAGAAAGAAAAUUUAAAUAUUAUAAGUACAUGGUUUUUAAGGCUUUCAUUAGUUGUGAGAAGACACUGUUAUUGAUGCAUUGCUGGCUCCUAAUUUGCAAACCAUGCAUGACUAUGAAACUGAAUGUGGGUUUUUGUUUUCUGCAAGCAAGGUAUAAGACCAUUUUUACAGUAUGUUAUUGAGGACAUAAAAUUUCCAGAUAUAUAAAGUGCUUAGAUUAAAACUAUGCUUUUAGAUGUGAACCAUAGCUCCAAUAUGCAGUUUUAACUAUCAAAACUUUAGGUUCUUCCAAACCAUAAAGAAGUUAAGAGCCAGGUCACUCUUUAAACAGAGGUUGGGCUUUCUAAUAUGCUGGUUUUUUUUUUUUUUUUUUUUUUUUUUUAUGGGACAAAAAAUGAUGGCAAUACUUCAUAAAUGUUAAGCUAGCUUAUCCUACGUAGCAUCUUAUGGGAAGUUAGGAAUAAAAAUGUGACCCAUCAGUGUGAGCAAUAAAUAUUUGCCCUGUACUUAGUGAUAGAUUAGACAUUUACUGUGUGGAGAUGUUCUGGGAAAACGUUUUUAAAAAGGAAGGGCCAUUUUCCAUUUUACUAUGGAGAAUGUGACUCUCCAUUAGCAUGAGGAAGGGGUUUCCUGGACUUGAAGUGACAUGCAAAAGUUGAUUUAAUGUUUAACAUUAGUGUUAUAUACAUUUUAAAUAUUUUAUAACCACAAAAAUACCUACUUAUAAUCAGAAUGUUACAAUGCUGGAUAAUACACCAUGACUAGUAAAGCUUAUUUCAUAAAAAUUGUCAAGGUGGAAGCUUCAUUUAAUGCUCUAAAGGAGUUGUGUAAUUUUAUCUUUUGUUCCCUUAAGCCUAUUUACCUCAUAGUAGCAAACUUAAUCACAUAAAUACCCUUCUCCAUGUCUCCCUAUGUUCAUUACCAUUCACUUUACUUACUGCCUGUUGAGUAUUUACAGGGGCCAACCCAUUGUGUAAGGUAAGAGGAUUCAGGAUUCCAAGAUGAGUAGGACCUGGUCUUUGCCCUCCAGGAGUAAAAAGCAAGUGGAAUGGAGUGUUUGCUGUGCUCUGACAUAAGGAUGAAAAGAAUGCAGAGGAACUAUGGAGGAAGGGGCCUGGUCUACACAGACAGGGGCCUGGUCCACACAGUCCUUCUACAAGGUAGGAUUUACUCACAACAGAUGAGAAGGUGUCAGGAAAAGGGCCUUGCAUUGGGGAUUAAAAGGUUUGGGUUUGGCUCCUUGUUUAGCUACUUACUAGAUUUGUGAUCCUGGGUAAUUUACUUCAACUCCCCAAGUUUUCUCAUCUGCAAAAUAGAAAUAAUAAUAGUUGUUCCCUCAUCUCACAGAAUGUUGUUUCAAGGCUCAAAUGAGCUAAUGAAAAUGAAAAUCCUUUUUAAAGAUUAUAUAUAUAUACAGUUAGUUAGAACUAAUAAAUGAAUUCAGUAAAGUAGCAGGAUAUAAAAUUAAUAUGCAAAAAUCUGUAGCAUUUGUAUACACAUAUAACAGAGAAAUUAAGAAAGCAAUCCCAUUUGCAAUCACAUCAAAAAGAAUAAAAUACCUAGGAAUAAAUUUAACCAAGGCAGUGAAAGACUUGUACUCUGAAAACUAUAAGACAUGGUUAAAGCAAUUGAAGAGGACAUGUAAAAAAGGAAAGAUAUUCCAUGUUCAUAGUCUGGAAGAAUCAAUAUUGUUAAAAUGCCAUACCACCCAAAGCAAUCUACAGAUUCAAUGCAAUCCCUCUCAAAUACGAAUGGCAUUUUUCACAGAAAUAAGGUAGUCCUAAAAUCUGUAUGGAACCACAAAAGACCCUGAAUAGCCAAAACAAUCUUGAGAAAAAAGAACAAAUAAGGAGGCAGCAAGCUUCCUGAUUUCCAACUAUGUGAUAAAUCAGUAGUAGUCAGAACAGUGUGAUAUUGGCAUAAAAACGGAUACAUAGAUCAAUAAUAUAGAAUAGAGAACGCCCAAAUAAAUCCACGCAUAUAUAGUCAAUUCAUUCAUGAUGGAGGAGGCAAGAAUACACAUUGGGUAAGGACAGUCUCUUCAAUACAUGGUGUUAGGAAAACCAAGCAGCCAGAUGUAGAAGAAAGAAAUUUGACCACUAUCUUACACCAUACACAAACCUUAACUCAAAAUAGAUUAGAGAUAUUAAUGUAAGACCUGAAACCAUAAAUCUCCUAGAAUAAAACAGGCAGUAAACACCUUGAUGCCGAUCUUGGUGAUGAUUUUUCGAAUCUGACACCAACAGCA